RNAcentral lists this transfer RNA (68 nucleotides) under Iriatherina werneri. RNAcentral's name for it is "tRNA-Tyr". It matches the Rfam family "tRNA". From Rfam's summary of the family: Transfer RNA (tRNA) molecules are approximately 80 nucleotides in length. Lineage: Eukaryota; Metazoa; Chordata; Actinopteri; Atheriniformes; Melanotaeniidae. The record is from RNAcentral.
GGUAAGAUGGCUGAGAUAGGCGCUGGAUUGUAGCCCCAUGAACAGAGGUUUGAGCCCUCUUCUUAUCA